AUGUGUUGUGUUUUAAAUAGUUGUUAUGUUUUUCAUUAUUACUCACUCAACCUCAAUGACCUUUGUAUCUUCUUUUUUCAUUGUGUUAUGAUUUUCAGAUUUGUUUUGUUUUUCACUGUCUGCUUAUGCUCUAGAUUGUAUUGCUACAUACUUAUGGGUAAUAUUGACUUUUUUAGAUAUAAAAUAGAAAUUGAAGUUCAACAUGACGGUCAUGUUUGCAGUUGA
Vicia faba (fava bean) is the source of this 225-nucleotide non-coding RNA. Lineage: Eukaryota; Viridiplantae; Streptophyta; Magnoliopsida; Fabales; Fabaceae. The record is from the annotation of a GenBank genome assembly.